RNAcentral lists this ribosomal RNA (482 nucleotides) under uncultured bacterium. RNAcentral's name for it is "partial 16S ribosomal RNA". It matches the Rfam family "Bacterial small subunit ribosomal RNA", at positions 30 to 507 of the family's 1533-position model. The record is from RNAcentral.
AUUGAACGCUGGCGGCAUGCCUUACACAUGCAAGUCGAACGGUAACGGGCCUUCGGGUGCCGACGAGUGGCGUACGGGUGAGUAAUACAUCGGAACGUGCCCGAUCGUGGGGGAUAACGAGGCGAAAGCUUUGCUAAUACCGCAUACGAUCUACGGCUGAAAGCAGGGGACCGCAAGGCCUUGCGCGGACGGAGCGGCCGAUGGCGGAUUAGGUAGUUGGUGGGAUAAAAGCUUACCAAGCCGACGAUCUGUAGCUGGUCUGAGAGGAUGAUCAGCCACACUGUGACUGAGACACGGCCCAGACUCCUACGGGAGGCAGCAGUGGGGAAUUUUGGACAAUGGGCGGGAGCCUGAUCCAGCCAUGCCGCGUGCAGGAUGAAGGCCUUCGGGUUGUAAACUGCUUUUGUACGGAACGAAAAGCCUUCUUUUAAUACAGGAGGGUCAUGACGGUACCGUAAGAAUAAGCACCGGCUAACUACGUG